This is a long non-coding RNA of Carassius carassius (crucian carp), 324 nucleotides long. RefSeq lists it as uncharacterized. The record is from RefSeq and is a predicted model, not a curated record. The transcript has 3 exons. NCBI's taxonomy places the organism in Eukaryota, Metazoa, Chordata, Actinopteri, Cypriniformes, Cyprinidae.
CUUUUGAAUGGUAAUAAGUUUGCCAUUUGCCAUCGUCUCUCAGAGUUAGUGCACUUUCAUUAGUGCUGGCAGUAAACUGGCACAGCUUCAGUGUCUGUGGCACUCAAAGGACUCUGGUCAGGUAAGCGCUCUCACCUGGGCUCUGGCCACAUAUACAUGCCUGGCACGGAUCUUCACCACCAUCAUCACCACAGGAGACGCACAAGUUCUCAUCCGGUUUGUUGUCAUGAACAAGUGGGUCACAGUCACAGUCAUCUACUACAAACCUCAUGCAGUGAAACAGGAUUAAGGGGAUGCUUUCUGCAUACAGUUUUUCUCUAUGUA